RNAcentral lists this small RNA (879 nucleotides) under Parafrankia sp. BMG5.14. RNAcentral's name for it is "bacterial SSU rRNA". The stretch from base 1 to 434 matches the Rfam family "Bacterial small subunit ribosomal RNA", at positions 1104 to 1533 of the family's 1533-position model. Lineage: Bacteria; Bacillati; Actinomycetota; Actinomycetes; Frankiales; Frankiaceae. The record is from RNAcentral.
CUUGUCCUAUGUUGCCAGCGAGUCAUGUCGGGGACUCAUAGGAGACUGCCGGGGUCAACUCGGAGGAAGGUGGGGAUGACGUCAAGUCAUCAUGCCCCUUACGUCCUGGGCUGCACACAUGCUACAAUGGCCGGUACAAUGGGCUGCGAUACCGCGAGGGGGAGCGAAUCCCAAAAAGCCGGUCUCAGUUCGGAUCGGGGUCUGCAACUCGACCCCGUGAAGUCGGAGUCGCUAGUAAUCGCAGAUCAGCAAUGCUGCUGUGAAUACGUUCCCGGGCCUUGUACACACCGCCCGUCACGUCACGAAAGUCGGUAACACCCGAAGCCGGUGGCCCAACCCUUGUGGGGGGAGCGCCGUCGAAGGUGGGACCGGCGAUUGAGACGAAGUCGUAACAAGGUAGCCGUACCGGAAGGUGCGGCUGGAUCACCUCCUUUCUAAGGAGCUUUCUGUGUCUGGCUGCCCUGUAGUGGGUGGCUGCCUGGUCCAGGACGAUGAUCAGUCGAGUGGCUGGUCUGGAUGCUCAUGGGUAGGAACGAUGACUUGUUCUGCUGGCUGCUGGUUCGGAUCCUGGCUUCCUCUGUGUGGCUUGGGGUUGGGCUCGCACGUGGUGGGUCGGUACGUAGCGCCUGUCUAGCAGGUCCUGGGGGGGUUAGGUGCCCUCGUGUGUGGCCCUGCUUUUGUUCAACGUGCCUCGGUGGCCUUCGGGUUGUCGGGGUUGUUGGGCGGGGUGGGUGUGCGGGCUGGUUGUGGUGGGAUACCGCUGUCGCCUUUUGGGUGAUGGGUUUGGUCUCACGGGCGCGGCUGGUUUCCGUUCGUAGUUUGAGAACUGCACAGUGGACGCGAGCAUCUUUAUCUUUGUGGCCAAGUUAUUAAGGGCGC